Molecule: transfer RNA, 69 nt
Filed under: Marmota marmota marmota (Alpine marmot)
Lineage: Eukaryota; Metazoa; Chordata; Mammalia; Rodentia; Sciuridae
Also listed under: 4 other names
Rfam family: tRNA
About the family: Transfer RNA (tRNA) molecules are approximately 80 nucleotides in length. Their secondary structure includes four short double-helical elements and three loops (D, anti-codon, and T loops). Further hydrogen bonds mediate the characteristic L-shaped molecular structure. tRNAs have two regions of fundamental functional importance: the anti-codon, which is responsible for specific mRNA codon recognition, and the 3' end, to which the tRNAs corresponding amino acid is attached (by aminoacyl-tRNA synthetases). tRNAs cope with the degeneracy of the genetic code in two manners: having more than one tRNA (with a specific anti-codon) for a particular amino acid; and 'wobble' base-pairing, i.e. permitting non-standard base-pairing at the 3rd anti-codon position.
Source: Rfam by way of RNAcentral
GGGGUUAUGGCUCAGUGGUAGAGCACUUGCCUAGCAUGUGUGAGGCCCUGGGUUCAAUCCCCAGCACCA